RNAcentral lists this ribosomal RNA (497 nucleotides) under uncultured bacterium. Its description in RNAcentral is "partial 16S ribosomal RNA". It matches the Rfam family "Bacterial small subunit ribosomal RNA", at positions 28 to 507 of the family's 1533-position model. The record is from RNAcentral.
GAUGAACGCUGGCGGCGUGCCUAAUACAUGCAAGUCGAGCGAACGGACGAGAAGCUUGCUUCUCUGAUGUUAGCGGCGGACGGGUGAGUAACACGUGGAUAACCUACCUAUAAGACUGGGAUAACUUCGGGAAACCGGAGCUAAUACCGGAUAAUAUUUUGAACCGCAUGGUUCAAAAGUGAAAGACGGUCUUGCUGUCACUUAUAGAUGGAUCCGCGCUGCAUUAGCUAGUUGGUAAGGUAACGGCUUACCAAGGCAACGAUGCAUAGCCGACCUGAGAGGGUGAUCGGCCACACUGGAACUGGGACACGGUCCAGACUCCUACGGGAGGCAGCAGUAGGGAAUCUUCCGCAAUGGGCGAAAGCCUGACGGAGCAACGCCGCGUGAGUGAUGAAGGUCUUCGGAUCGUAAAACUCUGUUAUUAGUGAAGAACAUAUGUGUAAGUAACUGUGCACAUCUUGACGGUACCUAAUCAGAAAGCCACGGCUAACUACGUG